Molecule: transfer-messenger RNA, 348 nt
Filed under: Gammaproteobacteria (g-proteobacteria)
Lineage: Bacteria; Pseudomonadati; Pseudomonadota
Also listed under: 2 other names
Description: DTSX01 sp012965065 X1 Standard tmRNA
Rfam family: transfer-messenger RNA
About the family: Bacterial tmRNA, also known as 10Sa RNA or SsrA, is named for its dual tRNA and mRNA-like properties. Its role is to liberate the mRNA from a stalled ribosome.
Source: RNAcentral
GGGGGCGACAAGGUUUCGACGUUGGUAUUGAGACUUUAUGUGCAUGUCGAGGCUACAGAGUUCUCGUUAAACUCUCUGUAAAAAACUAGUUGCAAAUAACAACUACGCACUAGCUGCAUAAAUCCAGCUGGCAUCAAUUUUUACUCUCUUGGGGGUAUUGAUUGAUGAAAAUACCCAAGAUCGUGAUUAUGCGUUCUCUUCAAUUAAUCAUUAAAUAAAAUACUAGAGAUCGCUUGAUGCUAUCCUUCCUUUCGGUUACAUCAGGUUAAAAUAAAAGAUCUGGAUAAACAUGUAGAUCAUUCUGUGGAUAACUAGCGGACGCGGGUUCGAUUCCCGCCGCCUCCACCA